RNAcentral lists this unclassified non-coding RNA (377 nucleotides) under Hevea brasiliensis (rubber tree). Lineage: Eukaryota; Viridiplantae; Streptophyta; Magnoliopsida; Malpighiales; Euphorbiaceae. The record is from RNAcentral.
CAUCAUUUCUCCCAACUUUUCAAGGAGAAGGGAAGCUACAAUCAUCUUAUCAAGUGUGCAUCAAUGAAACGUGCAGCAGCUUCUGUUCCUGAAGCCUGAAUACCUUGUCAACAAUCUAAUAUCUAUGUGUGUGUGGCUUUACUAUUUUUCGGUGUGCUUUCCUUCGGAUCCGACUUGCAUUAUGAGGAAUUGGCAAAACUUUGUUCUGCCUCCUUUUUGGCAUUUGGUUCAAUUUAUUGGGCAUAUUGUUGUGUUUGAUUGAUGGAUGGGACACACAUUCCCACAAUUGUAAAAUGACCUGUGGAGGACUUUCUGCAAAUGUGGAAGUUACCAAUGCUGCUUCAUUUUCAGAAAGUCCUCCACAGGUCAUUUUACAA